RNAcentral lists this ribosomal RNA (253 nucleotides) under uncultured bacterium. Its description in RNAcentral is "partial 16S ribosomal RNA". It matches the Rfam family "Bacterial small subunit ribosomal RNA", at positions 524 to 776 of the family's 1533-position model. The record is from RNAcentral.
UACGUAGGGUGCAAGCGUUGUCCGGAAUUAUUGGGCGUAAAGAGCUCGUAGGCGGCUUGUUGCGUCGGCUGUGAAAACCCGCAGCUCAACUGUGGGCUUGCAGCCGAUACGGGCAGGCUAGAAUUCGGUAGGGGAGACUGGAAUUCCUGGUGUAGCGGUGAAAUGCGCAGAUAUCAGGAGGAACACCGGUGGCGUAGACGGCUUUCUGGACCGUAACUGACGCUGAGACACGAAAGCGUGGGUAGCAAACAGG